UUUUUGGGGGUGUUUUUUUUUUACCCCCCCCCUAAGCGCCUGUUUAUCAAAAACAUCGCCUCUUGCAAAACAUAAGAGGUCCAGCCUGCCCAGUGACACUGUUCAACGGCCGCGGUAACCUAACCGUGCGAAGGUAGCAUAAUCAUUUGUCCUUUAAAUGGGGACUAGCAUGAAUGGCAUCACGAAGAUUAUACUGUCUCCUUUUUCCAAUCAGUGAAACUAAUCUCCCCGUGAAGAAGCGGGGAUAUACAUAUAAGACGAGAAGACCCUAUGGAGCUUUAAGUAAAACAACAUUUGCCAUUACACAUCUUAAUUUAAGAAAAUUAACCUAUACUAUAGCAUUUUGAUUGUUAGCUUUAGGUUGGGGUGACCGCGGAGUAAAAAAGAACCUCCACAUUGAAAGGGGGUAAUCCCCUAAACAAAAAGUUACAACUUUAUGUAUCAACAUAUUGACAUCAAUUGACCCAAAAAUUUUGAUCAACGAAACAAGUUACCCUAGGGAUAACAGCGCAAUCUGCUUCGAGAGCCCAUAUCGACAAGCAGGUUUACGACCUCGAUGUUGGAUCAGGGUAUCCAAGUGGUGCAGCCGCUACUAAUGGUUCGUUUGUCAACGAUAAACCGUACGGAUAUCCCG
RNAcentral lists this ribosomal RNA (634 nucleotides) under Gastrotheca microdiscus (tiny-fingered marsupial frog). Its description in RNAcentral is "partial large subunit ribosomal RNA". It matches the Rfam family "Bacterial large subunit ribosomal RNA", at positions 1767 to 2608 of the family's 2925-position model. Lineage: Eukaryota; Metazoa; Chordata; Amphibia; Anura; Hemiphractidae. The record is from RNAcentral.